This 58-nucleotide ribosomal RNA is filed under the name Ficus sphenophylla. Its description in RNAcentral is "partial 28S ribosomal RNA". Lineage: Eukaryota; Viridiplantae; Streptophyta; Magnoliopsida; Rosales; Moraceae. The record is from RNAcentral.
ACGCGACCCCAGGUCAGGCGGGGCUACCCGAUGAGUUUAAGCAUAUCAAUAAGCGGAG